GUUAAAAAACUUUUAUUGUUUCCUUUUCAACCAGCCUCUUUCAGAUUUGACGUUGUGUUCUUCAGAUUGUCAAAGGUCCAACAAGACAUACUUCAAGAGAUGAAGAUCUACCUAAUAACAGGAGUUUUCAGUUCUGGCGACUUCUGUAUUUUCAUCAUUUGUUGAUCAUCUGAUGUUUUAUUUUAUCUUAUUUUGAAUACCAGAUUCUUCUAAUUUUACCUUGACUGUCACGGUCUGAGGUGUGUUCCUGCCGGCACUCCCUGUCUCUGAGUUUUCCCUCUGCAGGUGGGCGUGUCUGGAGGUUGACCAAGCUGCAGCAGAUCUGCUCAUCAGCCGGCCAGGUGUAUUUAAGCAGCUGAGAGACUUCUACGCCUCGCUGGAUGAUUUCGCUACCUGGACAAGACCUCCACCCCAUCUCUGACUGGCAGAAUUCUGGAACCUCUACACCUGCUUGUCUCUCAGUUCCUCCCUGGCCAAAGUCACCUCCAGCUGCCCACCUAAACUUCCUGGACCUCCACAAGCUCAGCUCCCUCCACGUCUCACCUCUUGGAUCUCAGUCCCAGGAAAGCCCUCUCAGCCCAGACUGGACCACUCCUCCCUCGAACUAGUUCCCUCCUCUCCAGACUAUUUCCCGCACCGGCUCCCUUGUGCAAGAACUCGGCUACGUUUAUGCUGCUUCCUUGGUUUCCCUUUUAAUAAAUUCUUAUUUAAACACUUUA
Molecule: long non-coding RNA, 719 nt
Organism: Nothobranchius furzeri (turquoise killifish)
Lineage: Eukaryota; Metazoa; Chordata; Actinopteri; Cyprinodontiformes; Nothobranchiidae
Source: RefSeq, a predicted model, not a curated record